Molecule: long non-coding RNA, 578 nt
Organism: Hippocampus comes (tiger tail seahorse)
Lineage: Eukaryota; Metazoa; Chordata; Actinopteri; Syngnathiformes; Syngnathidae
Exons: 2
Source: RefSeq, a predicted model, not a curated record
AAAGAGGAACUGCCCCCCCCUCCCCCUCGCUACUGCCCAUCCUGUUAUCACGGGCAGUUUAUAGGGUGAACAGAAAGGCUGUCAGGCCCACCAUUGCCGAGGUCCAGUCAGCUUUUAUUGACUUAAUUCCUCGCACCGCAACAAUGUAAAGAGUGAUGUCACCUUUGAAUGCAUGAGAAUACCACUCCUCAUCAUCGCCGUAGGCCUGCUGUCCUGACCCUGGAGAGGCAAGCAAAAGAUAAAAAGAAAAGAAAAAGAAAGCAACUAAUAAGCAGGGGAAAGAUGGCGCCUAAGAUGUUAGGCAAUGUUUUUAAUACUCUCCCGGGAUUUGUGCAACAAAACGGCUCCGGGAUCAAGUUUAAAAAAUUGCUUUGACAUCAGAAACGCACUCAACAAAAGAGAGCGCGCGGGUGUUGGGGCAUGUGUUUCUGUGGAUCUUUUGGGUUGAAGUCAUGCAGAAGGAGUGAACCUCAAAUGAUCCAUUUUGUUCCAUUCUCUUUGCACUUCUUUUGGCCUCGGGGAAAUUAGUGGUGAUUUUUGUCUCAAGGGCGAUAGUUCAACAGUGAUUUGCUAGGUAU